RNAcentral lists this ribosomal RNA (497 nucleotides) under uncultured bacterium. Its description in RNAcentral is "partial 16S ribosomal RNA". It matches the Rfam family "Bacterial small subunit ribosomal RNA", at positions 28 to 507 of the family's 1533-position model. The record is from RNAcentral.
GAUGAACGCUGGCGGCGUGCCUAAUACAUGCAAGUCGAGCGAACAGACGAGGAGCUUGCUCCUCUGACGUUAGCGGCGGACGGGGGAGUAACACGUGGAUAACCUACCUAUAAGACUGGGAUAACUUCGGGAAACCGGAGCUAAUACCGGAGAAUAUAUUGAACCGCAUGGUUCAAUAGUGAAAGACGGUUUUGCGGUCACGUAUAGAUGGAUCCGCGCCGCAUUAGCUAGUUGGUAAGGUAACGGCUUACCAAGGCAACGAUGCGUAGCCGACCUGAGAGGGUGAUCGGCCACACUGGAACUGAGACAGGGCCCAGACUCCUACGGGGAGCAGCAGCAGGGACUCUUCCGCAAUGGGCGAAAGCCUGACGGAGCAACACCGCGUGAGUGAUGAAGGUCUUCGGAUCGUAAAACUCUGUUGUUAGUGAGGAACAAAUGUGUAAGUAACUAUGCACGUCUUGACGGUACCUAAUCAGAAAGCCACGGCUAACUACGUG